GAAGUUCAGCCCAAGUAGAUUUUACUUUGGAACUUCAAAAUUCUUGCAUUUAUAUAAAGCCUAGCAUAUGUGCCCAGUUCCCAUCAUCAGCAAACAGAUAAAGAAAUUUAAAAAAAAGGAAAAGCACUAGAAGAGUGCAUUAAGUAAAGAUGUCAUCAAAAGAUGAUUUACGUCUAUUGGAUUUCUGGGCAAGAUCAUUUGCAUGAGGGUUAAAAUAGUAGGAAAUGAGAGCAACAAAUUCAAUAAUAAUACUACUUCAAUAUUUUUUAUAAGCAAAUAUACGGAUUGACUUGAGCCGCAUUGGGUAUUGUCUUAAGAAACUAUUUCAGCAGUGUGAAAUAUUUUUUCAGAAUUAAACAAGCAUGUAUAGGUCAAAAUCUGACCAGACAAGAACGGUGUGGGAAGGUACGACGGAAGGUUACUUCGAACUACUGUGCCCCUGCCACAUUGUAACAACACGCACCUCGACCACGACUGACGUCGUAUAUUCGGGAUAUCUGAGAGGCGAAUUGGAUAUUAUGCCAUUUCAAGGGCUCAACUCGUAAUAUAGUCAAAUGACUCAAAUACUAUGGUCAAUGACCACUGGGGUAGAGAGAAGAUCUAGUAUAUAAACUAAGUGAGAAGAAGAAGAAGAAAAGGGGCGGAAAAAAUAAAAACAUGGGCACAUCCUUGAAAGAGAGGAGGAAUCAUCAUCUUUAUUUCUCCAUGAAGGAGAAAAAAGCAAGGGCGCUAAGAUCUUUAACAUAGAUCGUUAGUCACCUCACACCCUAUAUAUGGGAUUCUACCUUAUUAAAGACCGAUAACAUUUUCAUCCAUGUAUUCCUUAUUAAUUGUUAAACAUUAUAAAAAUCAUCAUCUUCUUCCCAUAUAUUGUGAUUUAAUCAAUAUUACAGCUAAAUACUAUAUGUGCUAUGCCUGCUUACUUUUAUCAUCUAUUAUAGAUCUGGAAUAAAUUAUCGUUGGCUAAGAUUUACCUAAAGUCUUCUUCUUUAA
This 993-nucleotide long non-coding RNA is filed under the name Nicotiana benthamiana. Its description in RNAcentral is "long non-coding RNA (NBEN_LNC042615)". The record is from RNAcentral. Lineage: Eukaryota; Viridiplantae; Streptophyta; Magnoliopsida; Solanales; Solanaceae.